GAUGGAGAACGCAGCGAAAUGCGAUAAGUAAUGUGAAUUGCAGAAUUCAGUGAAUCAUCGAAUCUUUGAACGCACAUUGCGCCCCCUGGUAUUCCGGGGGGCAUGCCUGUUCGAGCGUCAUUACAACCCUCAAGCUCUGCUUGGUGUUGGGCCCCGCCGCCCCGGCGGGCCCUAAAAUCAGUGGCGGUGCCGUCCGGCUCCGAGCGUAGUAAUUCUUCUCGCUCUGGAGGUCCGGGUGUGUGCUCGCCAGCAACCCCCAAUUUUUUUCAGGUUGACCUCGGAUCAGGUAGGGAUACCCGCUGAACUUAAGCAUAUCAAUAAGCGGAGGA
Molecule: unclassified non-coding RNA, 329 nt
Filed under: soil metagenome
Description: partial contains 5.8S ribosomal RNA, internal transcribed spacer 2, and large subunit ribosomal RNA
Rfam family: 5.8S ribosomal RNA (bases 1-120)
Source: RNAcentral